This 1170-nucleotide ribosomal RNA is filed under the name Escherichia coli. Its description in RNAcentral is "partial 23S ribosomal RNA". It matches the Rfam family "Bacterial large subunit ribosomal RNA", at positions 1 to 1213 of the family's 2925-position model. Lineage: Bacteria; Pseudomonadati; Pseudomonadota; Gammaproteobacteria; Enterobacterales; Enterobacteriaceae. The record is from RNAcentral.
GUUAAGCGACUAAGCGUACACGGUGGAUGCCCUGGCAGUCAGAGGCGAUGAAGGACGUGCUAAUCUGCGAUAAGCGUCGGUAAGGUGAUAUGAACCGUUAUAACCGGCGAUUUCCGAAUGGGGAAACCCAGUGUGAUUCGUCACACUAUCAUUAACUGAAUCCAUAGGUUAAUGAGGCGAACCGGGGGAACUGAAACAUCUAAGUACCCCGAGGAAAAGAAAUCAACCGAGAUUCCCCCAGUAGCGGCGAGCGAACGGGGAGCAGCCCAGAGCCUGAAUCAGUGUGUGUGUUAGUGGAAGCGUCUGGAAAGGCGCGCGAUACAGGGUGACAGCCCCGUACACAAAAAUGCACAUGCUGUGAGCUCGAUGAGUAGGGCGGGACACGUGGUAUCCUGUCUGAAUAUGGGGGGACCAUCCUCCAAGGCUAAAUACUCCUGACUGACCGAUAGUGAACCAGUACCGUGAGGGAAAGGCGAAAAGAACCCCGGCGAGGGGAGUGAAAAAGAACCUGAAACCGUGUACGUACAAGCAGUGGGAGCACGCUUAGGCGUGUGACUGCGUACCUUUUGUAUAAUGGGUCAGCGACUUAUAUUCUGUAGCAAGGUUAACCGAAUAGGGGAGCCGAAGGGAAACCGAGUCUUAACUGGGCGUUAAGUUGCAGGGUAUAGACCCGAAACCCGGUGAUCUAGCCAUGGGCAGGUUGAAGGUUGGGUAACACUAACUGGAGGACCGAACCGACUAAUGUUGAAAAAUUAGCGGAUGACUUGUGGCUGGGGGUGAAAGGCCAAUCAAACCGGGAGAUAGCUGGUUCUCCCCGAAAGCUAUUUAGGUAGCGCCUCGUGAAUUCAUCUCCGGGGGUAGAGCACUGUUUCGGCAAGGGGGUCAUCCCGACUUACCAACCCGAUGCAAACUGCGAAUACCGGAGAAUGUUAUCACGGGAGACACACGGCGGGUGCUAACGUCCGUCGUGAAGAGGGAAACAACCCAGACCGCCAGCUAAGGUCCCAAAGUCAUGGUUAAGUGGGAAACGAUGUGGGAAGGCCCAGACAGCCAGGAUGUUGGCUUAGAAGCAGCCAUCAUUUAAAGAAAGCGUAAUAGCUCACUGGUCGAGUCGGCCUGCGCGGAAGAUGUAACGGGGCUAAACCAUGCACCGAAGCUGCGGCAGCGACG